Molecule: long non-coding RNA, 1137 nt
Organism: Polypterus senegalus (gray bichir)
Lineage: Eukaryota; Metazoa; Chordata; Cladistia; Polypteriformes; Polypteridae
Exons: 4
Source: RefSeq, a predicted model, not a curated record
UCUGUGGCAAUCAAAAACUCACCUGUCCAAUUAUCAACGUUUGAAGUUGUCUAUCAAGUGUAACUUUAACCAAACGUUUCACAGUUCGUGAUCCCUACCUCUUUGUGGUUCCGUCUUAUAGAGUUUCCUCUUAAAUAACCUGCCGUUGUACCAACCGACGAAACUCCGUUAAACGAAAGGAGACAAAAAAAGAAGCUGCGGCGAUGAAACUCCAUUUGACAAAAGAAGAAGCAGAAGCGACGAAACUAAUUGCUAGUAUUUUUGACAAUAGUAGCAGCUUGCUACAAGAAUAUCUUCUGGAAAUUGGAUGUUAAUGAAAAAUCAGGACAUCCCUGCUGGUUCAGUAGACUGUGGAAUAGACACGUUGAUGGUGUUUGAAUAUGAACUGCUGCUGUAUCUGAAAAGGUGUCAUCCAAAUGGUUUAGAAAUGAUGAAGAUCCUAAAGGUCACCAGGUAAUGACCUCAAUACAGUAGAAGAUGAGGAGCUGACAGAUGGCCUCUACAACUACCUGAUGAAGUGCUGUGAAGAGCUGUAGGCACUUUGUAAAGAUCCACUGGGUUCACGUCAUUCUGGAUGUGCUGAUGCUGGAGGUUCAAUUUGGCUUCAGGGAAUCUCUGAGUACAGAAAGUGUCUCCAUGAGUAAGAAGCAGAAGGUCUGUUCACUGGUGGACCAGCAGACUUUGAGUGGGAUGUCAUGUGGUGUUGGAGGGAGAGAGAAAGAGACGGUCCUUUCUGUUUCUUAUCAGCACCAUUCGUCUGUUAAUCAGAAUACAAUUUUACUUGUAGUGAAUUUAGACGAGUAUAAACUAAAUAGAUAAAUGUAAAUAUAUAUGUUUAAAGUGAAAUUUAAAAUGUGCAUUAGUGCACUUUUAGUACUGGUGAAAGUAAAUCUUUCUCUUUUUUUUUGACAAACUUGAACUUCUAACUGUUGGAGUACAAAGAUAGUUAACAUCACUGAGGCUUUUCAACUUGGGAUUCCAUCUCCGCGCCUCCUCUGAUAAACGUGUCACUGGCUUUACUGGUCUUUGGAAUUUUGGAUUUCUGAGUGCUGAACUGACUGUGCAUAAUAGAGUUGUGUAGAUUUGAUUUAACUAUUGAUGUCAAUAAUAAAGGACACUUUGAUUAAGUUCUGUAUA